AAUAGCGCCACAAUCGAGGAGAAAGGAGGGUAAGAAGCCUCCUUUAUUUCCAUAAGUCACUCAAGGCUAUCGGGAAUGCGAAAGGCACUUGGCCCGACUCGCAUUUGACUUCUCGACUUCGCUAGCAGUACUAAUGGACCCUUGGGGCCCAACAGCACAAUAGAGCUAUUGAAAGUCCUUUUCCAUGAAAUUAGGUCAUAGAACGCCCAUUAACAUGUAAGCCCGUCCCCUUCGGGCCCAAAGAUCAUGUUAUUGGGCUAGCAAGGCCCAACAAGCACGAUUUGAAACUUUCAACCCCGAAGAUUGAAUAUUGACUCCUCGUAGUUGUUGCAUGUUUAUUGAAGUACUACGGUUAUUUGAUUUUUGUUUUGUUAUUGAUUCAAGACCGAAUCAAUUCGUUUGGUAAUGAUAUUGGUUGUUGAAAGUGUAUUUGUUAUUAAAUUUCGCCGGUAGUCGUGGAUCUCGAAUUUUGUCUUAAGGGAUUUAUUUGAUAUGCUAGUUCACUAUAAACAGAGCUCUGAUACCAACCUGUCACACCCCCGAACCAGACGGCGGAAACGUCCAAGGGCUCUUGUGACUUAAAUUGAAUACCAUCACAAUGAUUAUACACGAAUCAUAACAUCAUUCAUCACCAUGCAUUGAAAUAUUACAACCGAUAUUGUUUACAUUCAGUACAUUGUUUUAACGUUACAAUUUCAUAACAUAAACCGUUUGAUCAUUAAUCUAAGCAAAACACCAUGAUAUAACUUGAUACAUAUUCUUCUGUUUACCAGUUACCUGAGAAUACAAGUUAUUUUGAAAACAGUCAACAUAUGAAAUGUUGGUGAGUUCAUAAGUAAUGUUAUGGAAAAUAAAUUUUGUGAAGUUUGAACACCGAGAAAAUCCGAUAUUUUCUGAAAAGAGUAUUGUUUCUUAAAAGUGUGAAGAUCCGUAAGUAUCCUUGUCGAUUUUGAAAACAUGUAUAAUUGUUGGGCUUUGUAUACAUCACGUAGGUAAAAGUGUUGAACUCCCCGGGAAAACCUGAUGUUUUCCCAAUGUGUAAAUUAUAUGACUUGUUUGAUAUUAUACCGAUACGACGAUUGUUUUUUGAUUUCCCAGGUGACAUUGGAUUAAUUAAGGGUUGUGAGUUGUUACAAUAACGCAUUAUUGAAAAUGACUAGUUUGUAACUACAAAUUAUGAACGAUCCUUGAGGCGUCGUCCAUACUACUCACAUAAUCCAACCACCCUGACUUCUCUUGUUUAACGUCACGAAUCUGCUUACUCGGUUUCUAAUAGCGCCACAAUCGAGGAGAAAGGAGGGUAAGAAGCCUCCUUUAUUUCCAUAAGUCACUCAAGGCUAUCGGGAAUGCGAAAGGCACUUGGCCCGACUCGCAUUUGACUUCUCGACUUCGCUAGCAGUACUAAUGGACCCUUGGGGCCCAACAGCACAAUAGAGCUAUUGAAAGUCCUUUUACAUGAAAUUAGGUCAUAGAACGCCCAUUAACAUGUAAGCGCGUCCCCUUCGGGCCCAAAGAUCAUGUUAUUGGGCUAGCAAGGCCCAACAAGCACGAUUUGAAACUUUCAAUCCCAAAGAUUGAAUAUUGACUCCUCGUAGUUGUCGCGUGUUUAUUGAAGUACUACGGUUAUUUGAUUUUUGUUUUGUUAUUGAUUCAAGACCGAAUCAAUUCGUUUGGUAACGAUAUUGGUUGUUGAAAGUGUAUUUGUUAUUACAUUUCGCCGGUAGUCGUGGAUCUCGUAUUUUGUCUUAAGGGAUUUAUUUGAUAUGCUAGUUCACUAUAAACAGAGCUCUGAUACCAACCUGUCACACCCCCGAACCAGACGGCGGAAACGUCCAAGGGCUCUUGUGACUUAAAUUGAAUACCAUCACAAUGAUUAUACACGAAUCAUAACAUCAUUCAUCACCAUGCAUUGAAAUAUUACAACCGAUAUUGUUUACAUUCAGUACAUUGUUUUAACGUUACAAUUUCAUAACAUAAACCGUUUGAUCAUUAAUCUAAGCAAAACACCAUGAUAUAACUUGAUACAUAUUCUUCUGUUUACCUGUUACCUGAGAAUACAAGUUAUUUUGAAAACGGUCAACAUAUAAAAUGUUGGUGAGUUCAUAAGUAAUGUUAUGGAAAAUGAUUUUUGUGAAGUUUGAACACCCAGAAAAUCCGAUAUUUUCUGAAAAGAGUAUUGUUUAUAAAAAGUGUGAAUAUCUGUAAGUAUGCUUGUCAAUUUUGAAAACAUGUAUAAUUGUUGAACUUUGUAUACAUCACGUACGUAAAAGUGUUGAACUCCCCGGGAAAACCCGAUGUUAUCCCAAUGUGUAAAUUAUAUGACUUGUUUAUUAUUAUACCGAUACGACGAUUGUUUUUUGAUUUCCCAGGUGACAUUGGAUUAAUUAAGGGUUGUGAGUUGUUACAAUAACGCAUUAUUGAAAAUGACUAGUUUGUAACUACAAAUUAUGAACGAUCCUUGAGGCGUCGUCCAUACUACUCACAUAAUCCAACCACCCUGACUUCUCUUGUUUAACGUCACGAAUCUGCUUACUCGGUUUCUAAUAGCGCCACAAUCGAGGAGAAAGGAGGGUAAGAAGCCUCCUUUAUUUCCAUAAGUCACUCAAGGCUAUCGGGAAUGCGAAAGGCACUUGGCCCGACUCGCAUUUGACUUCUCGACUUCGCUAGCAGUACUAAUGGACCCUUGGGGCCCAACA
This 2696-nucleotide long non-coding RNA is filed under the name Lactuca sativa (garden lettuce). RNAcentral's name for it is "long non-coding RNA (LSAT_LNC010245)". The record is from RNAcentral. Lineage: Eukaryota; Viridiplantae; Streptophyta; Magnoliopsida; Asterales; Asteraceae.